CCUACGGGUGGCAGCAGUGAGGAAUAUUGGGCAAUGGACGCAAGUCUGAACCAGCCAUGCCGCGUGCAGGAAGACGGCCCUAUGAGUUGUAAACUGCUUUUGUACGAGGGUAAACGCAGAUACGCGUAUCUGUCUGAAAUUAUCGUACGAAUAUGGAUCGGCUAACUCCGUGCCAGCAGCCGCGGUAAUACGGAGGAUUCGAGCGUUAUCCGGAUUUAUUGGGGUUAAAGGGUGCGUAGGCGGUCGGAUAAGUUAGAAGUUAAAUCCCGAGGCUCAACUUCGGAAUUGCCAGUGAUACUGUUAGGCUAGAGAGUAGGAGAGGUAGGCAGAAUGUAUGGUGUAGCGGUGAAAUGCUUAGAGAUCAUACAGAACACCGAUUGCGAAGGCAGCUUACCA
Molecule: ribosomal RNA, 396 nt
Filed under: uncultured bacterium
Lineage: Bacteria
Description: partial 16S ribosomal RNA
Rfam family: Bacterial small subunit ribosomal RNA
Source: RNAcentral